RNAcentral lists this ribosomal RNA (492 nucleotides) under uncultured bacterium. Its description in RNAcentral is "partial 16S ribosomal RNA". It matches the Rfam family "Bacterial small subunit ribosomal RNA", at positions 29 to 507 of the family's 1533-position model. The record is from RNAcentral.
AUUGAACGCUGGCGGCAUGCUUUACACAUGCAAGUCGAACGGUAACAGGCCUUCGGGUGCUGACGAGUGGCGAACGGGUGAGUAAUGCAUCGGAACGUACCCAGAGGUGGGGGAUAACGCAGCGAAAGCUGUGCUAAUACCGCAUGUGAUCUGAGGAUGAAAGCGGGGGACCGAGCAGCAAUGUUUGGCCUCGCGCCUUUGGAGCGGCCGAUGUCGGAUUAGCUAGUUGGUGGGAUAAAGGCCUACCAAGGCGACGAUCCGUAGCUGGUCUGAGAGGACGACCGGCCACACUGGGACUGAGACACGGCCCAGACUCCUACGGGAGGCAGCAGUGGGGAAUUUUGGACAAUGGGCGCAAGCCUGAUCCAGCAAUGCCGCGUGCGGGAAGAAGGCCUUCGGGUUGUAAACCGCUUUUGGCAGGAACGAAACGGUGUCCGCUAAUACCGGGCGCUAAUGACGGUACCUGCAGAAUAAGCACCGGCUAACUACGUG